This 546-nucleotide long non-coding RNA is filed under the name Nicotiana tabacum (common tobacco). RNAcentral's name for it is "long non-coding RNA (NTAB_LNC016407)". Lineage: Eukaryota; Viridiplantae; Streptophyta; Magnoliopsida; Solanales; Solanaceae. The record is from RNAcentral.
AGGCAGAGAGAUUUCUUAGAUAUGAGGUACCUACAGAACCAUCCAGUAGGCACUCCAUUAAAAUUGUGAAGGAUCAAAAAGGGUACGUAAUUUUCCAGCAUCAAAACGUUCGACCCUCCGCAACUUUUGUGAAUUCCGGAAGAGAAGUUCAAUACAUAUUAGUCUGGGCACGAAGCUGUGUUGCUGCAACUCCUUUCGUAACCUUCAGUGAAGAUAGGUUUCACAUCAUUCUUUUUACCCUUUCUUUCCUUUAUUUUUGAUUUAAGGCCAUCCAAGCGCUCUGAAAUAAGUGAACAUCUGAAAGAGCAUUGCCUUCAAUCUCAUCUGGAGAAUCAGAUUCGCAACAUAUUCAUGGCAGUAACAUAGCCUAUGGAGAUUCCAUUCCGGAAAUCAGUGGCAGGGAGCAAAAGAAGAAAGAAAGAAGUUAGAUCAUGAUGGAUGAGCCAUUGAGAUCACAUGAAGGAGAAUGAGGAGUCGCGGAACCGUACGGAUGAAGAAAGUGAGUCGAAAGAUACUUUGUCCUGACAAGAGGAAUGGCCACAUAGG